RNAcentral lists this ribosomal RNA (437 nucleotides) under uncultured bacterium. Its description in RNAcentral is "bacterial SSU rRNA". It matches the Rfam family "Bacterial small subunit ribosomal RNA", at positions 791 to 1231 of the family's 1533-position model. The record is from RNAcentral.
UAGUCCACGCCGUAAACGAUGAUCACUCGUCAUUAGCGAUAUACAGUUAGUGACCUAGCGAAAGCAUUAAGUGAUCCACCUGGGGAGUACGUUCGCAAGAAUGAAACUCAAAGGAAUUGACGGGGGCCCGCACAAGCGGUGGAGCAUGUGGUUUAAUUCGAUGAUACGCGAGGAACCUUACCUGGGCUCAAACGCAUGAUGACAGGCUGGGAAACCAGUUUUUCUUCGGACAUUAUGCGAGGUGCUGCAUGGUUGUCGUCAGCUCGUGCCGUGAGGUGUCGGGUUAAGUCCCAUAACGAGCGCAACCCCUAUUUCUAGUUGCCAGCGAGUAAUGUCGAGGACUCUAGAGAAACUGCCUACGCAAGUAGUGAGGAAGGUGGGGGAUGAUGUCAAAUCAUCACGGCCCUUACGUCCAGGGGCUACACACGUGCUACAAU